AAACACGGACCAAGGAGUCUAACAUGUGCGCGAGUCAUUGGGUUGACACUAAACCUAAAGGCGCAAUGAAAGUGAAGGUCUCGCCUUGUGCGGACCGAGGGAAGAUGGGGCGUGCUUCUGCGCGACCCCCGCAUUCCCGGGGCGUCUCGUUCUCACUGCGAGUUGAGGCGCACCCAGAGCGUACACGUUGGGACCCGAAAGAUGGUGAACUAUGCCUGGCCAGGACGAAGUCAGGGGAAACCCUGAUGGAGGUCCGUAGCGAUUCUGACGUGCAAAUCGAUCGUCGGAGCUGGGUAUAGGGCGAAAGACUAAUCGAACCAUCUAGUACU
This 329-nucleotide ribosomal RNA is filed under the name Orophus sp. MCJ-2002. RNAcentral's name for it is "eukaryotic LSU rRNA". It matches the Rfam family "Eukaryotic large subunit ribosomal RNA", at positions 657 to 952 of the family's 3401-position model. Lineage: Eukaryota; Metazoa; Arthropoda; Insecta; Orthoptera; Tettigoniidae. The record is from RNAcentral.